UUAUUUACCCAUUUUUUUCUGAUAGCUAUAUUUUAUAGGUCCGCCAAAACCUCCGAAAAAUGCCACAAAAUAGAAAAGGGCGGGUCAGAAAACCAAGGGUUGGCUGUAAAAACUUAUUAGAGGGCUGUUUAAGGCUAACCUACGUUCCAAUAACAACAAUACAAAUAAUAAAACUUUGAGCAGCGUGAGGAUCAUCGAAGCCCGACAUCCUAAGCUGUCUACCCCGGUUGGGGGCUCUGAGGAGCCGAAGUCAUCUCCGGCAGAGGCCAGCGCCGCAGGAAAAAAAUCAGUGGACAAGAGUUACAGAAACGAGCUACUAGACUCAGAGUAAGGAGCUACAAGCUGAUGGCGGCGAACCAUCUAAGAAGACAUGGUGACGACCAGGCUGGAGCGAGAGGCUGGAGAACUCUGGCUAAUAUCCGCCUAUAUGACGCACGAUGACGAAGUGGAGCCACCUCCAAAGCUGCUGAGGAGCGCCCUAGCGUAAACCAAGCGAAUGAAAGCGGGUGUGAUCAUAGGGUCCGAUGCGAAUUCGAUGCACUCAGUUUGUGGAAGCUCGGACAAGAACUCGCGAGGUGAGCGACUUUUUGAGUUUAAUGUAAGAAAGAGUUAUGUAUUUGUAACAGGGGGAAUUCCCCUAUGCUUAUAACUGCUGCCAGUGAAGAUAUUCAUGACCUUACACUGGCUACAUCUAAGACAACACCUUCGCUCUCGGAUUGGAGGGUUCUGAGCGAUCAAGAACUGGGAUCUGUACAGCAGGAAUCUUCGCUUUCUGAUGCGCCAGAAAUAAAUUCGAUGCAGUCGGUGGACUCGCUAGAAAACCUUGUCGAAGUUUUCAGCUCCGCGUGCAAAGAUGCUCUUGAAAGCGCAUGUCCGCUGAGCAGUCAGAAAGGUAGAGGGAAACCCGUUUUGUGGACGGUGGAGCUCUCUGAGUUAAGGCGCCGAGCAGACGAUUAUUCAAUAGGGCCCGUUAGAGUAAGUUGUCUUCCGAUUGGAAACUUUAUAAGUUUGGACUAGGAAUCUACAAGUCCGAACUGCAAUCUACGCGAACUGCGUGAGAUAGGGCAUAUUCCAGGUGGAGUUCAUCCCGAAGGCCGGAAGGAGCUCUCAUGUUGUCCCGAAGGACUUCAGGCCAAUCAGACUCUUGGAGUUCUGCAGUGUAUUCCAGGCAGAAUUGGCUGCUAUCAAGGAGGCGGUGGAUUCACUGCUCCGGAGUGCUAUAACAGUCAGGGAAGUGAGCGUAUUUUCUGAUAGCCAAGCAGCUACCAGGGCUUUGAGUUCGCUGGAGGUGCGCUCUAACUUGGUUAAGAAAUGUCUGCUCUCUCUUUCGGUCGCAUCGGAAUACUUAUGAAUUAGGCUUAUUUGGGUUCCGGGUCACAGCGACAUUGAGGGGAACUGUGUGGCUGACGAAUUGGCAACAGCGGCUGGGGGUGCCAUUCAUGUGGUACACUCUUGGAUAGAUGGGACUCAUGUCAGCUCAGAGAACGCUCGCCGAAAACCACGACAUGCUCGAUCACAAGGCCCUUCUUGCCGAGGGUGGACCGGUGCAGUCGAGGGCACUCCUCACACUCACAAAGCCACAGCUCUCACUCUGUUUGGGGUUUUAACGGGUCACUGUCCAAUCGGUAUUCUCGCAGUAAGGCUGACAAACCUGGAAAAUGACGAGGUAAGCACCUCAUCACGAUCUUCUUAGGUGCCCAGCGUUUGCGAAACUAAGGUUGAAGUACUUUUACUCUCACUUCCUAAAGAGCACCGAGAAGCUCUGGGGCAUUGAGAUUAGCCGAAUUCGUAAACACAUAAUCGGCUCGGGGCGUUUUAUCGAUAAAGUACAGAGUGCCGUUCAGAAUUGUGGUAUCACAAAGGGCAAUCUAAAAUUGUCUAAACUAACCUAACCUAACAUCGUUUCUUCAAAAGACCCUUGAGAAAUUAAUAAACCUAUACAUCAAGCAAAACGUAGUGGGACACAUGCCGGUUACCAGGGGUAUCCCGCAAAGCGUGUAUUAUCGCCGCUAUUUUCAUCAGUCGUGGUCAACAGGAUACUGAAGAAAAUGGAGGGAGGACCUGCCGAAUUACUGCAUAUGCGGAUGAUAUUUAUAUCAUAGUGAGCGGAAAGUGUCUGUCCACACUCAGCACACUUAUGAGCCAAGCACUACGGGUUACAUCU
RNAcentral lists this long non-coding RNA (2164 nucleotides) under Rhagoletis pomonella (apple maggot). RNAcentral's name for it is "uncharacterized LOC118734699". Lineage: Eukaryota; Metazoa; Arthropoda; Insecta; Diptera; Tephritidae. The record is from RNAcentral.